AGGUAAAAAAUCGGCGUGGUUAGCAGAACGAGUUGGAAAGCUUAGCCAGAGACUGUGAUAGCCAGGUAUGCGAAAACGACGCUGACCUUAUUCUGUAUUCUCGAGUAGGUCGGGGCACGAGAAACCCUGAUUGAAUCCGGCUGGACCACCAGCCAAGGCUAAAUAUAGUAUAUGAUCGAUAGUGAACUAGUACGGUGACGGAAAGGUGAAAAGAACCCCGGGAGGGGAGUGAAAUAGAACCUGAAAUUUUGUGCCUACAAGGAGUCGGAGCCCAGCACCUUUGAAAUCGAGUGGUACAAUGUAGGCGGAUGUUCUACGUGUACGUUUUGCAAAGUGAUCGGGAAUCAGAUCAAAUUUACUUCGGUCAGACUAGUGACUUAAGACGACGUCUCUCGGAGCAUAAUUCUGGCAAGGAUACUUAUACCAAGAUAUAUGCGCCAUGGAAGGUUGUCUAUUAUGAAGCCUAUUCAUCACGUAAGCUAGCAAUGGCCCGUGAGAGGCAGCUGAAAGCUUAUGGACAAGCCAGGACUGCUCUGAAGAAGAGACUAAAUUUGAUCUGAUACUCGAUUUCAAAGGUGCUGGGUGACGGCGUGCUUUUUGUAGAACGAUCCAGCGAGUUAAUUUUUACGGCGAGGUUAAGUUAGAUGAUGAAGCCACAGUGAAAGCGAGCAUUAACAGUGCGAUUUAGUCGUAAGGAUUAGACCCGAAACCAGGUGACCUAACCAUGAGCAGGUUGAAGCAACCUUAAUCGGUUGUGGAGGACCGAACCAGUGUAUGUUACAAAAUGCUUGGAUGACUUGUGGUUAGCGGUGAAAUGCCAAUCGAACUUGGAGAUAGCUGGUUCUCCGCGAAAUAGUUAUAGGACUAGCGUCGUGUGAUAGCUUACGGGGGUAGAGCUCUGUCAAGAGAUAGGGGGAGCAAUCCUACCUACUCUUAAUAAACUACGAAUACCGUAUGUCUGUAUCACGGCAGUUAGAACGUCGGUGCUAAGAUCGGCGCUCAAAAGGGAAACAGCCCAGACCAUCAUCUAAGGUCCCCAAAUUUACGCUAAGUGGGAAACAAGGUGGAAUUUCUUAAACAGCUAGGAUGUUGGCUUAGAAGCAGCCAUUCAUUUAAAGAGUGCGUAACAGCUCACUAGUCAAGAGAUUCUGCGUGGAAGAUAUAACGGGGCUAAGCGUAAUACCGAAGAUAUGGAUUGCAAUUUAUUGCAGUGGUAGCGGAGCGUUCCUAUCGGCAGUGAAGCCGGACUGUUAAGUACCGGUGGAGCGUUAGGAAGUGAGAAUGCUGGAACGAGUAACCAUAAGACAGGUGAGAAUCCUGUCGGCCGAAAGAGCGAGGUUUCCUGGGCUAUGGUAAUCAUCCCAGGGUUAGUCGGGCCUAAGCCGAGGCGUUUAGCGUAGGCGAUGGACAUCAGGUUAAUAUUCCUGAACUAGUCAAACUUUGUAUGCAGUUAGCGAUGAGAUAGGUGGAGCGGAUUCAUGGUUUAUCCGUUCAAGUGAUAGAGGAAUCUUGAUCGAGUAAAAGUGAACCUACGGGUUUACGAUUCCGCUGAAGGCAUUGACCAGAAAAGCUGGCAUACGCAUGGGUUUGGCUACCCGUACCGCAAACCGACACAGGUGCUCGAGUCGAGGAGACUAAGGCUUACGAGAGAAUGAUUGCUAAGGAACUCGGCAAUACAGCGACCGUAACUUCGGAAUAAGGUCUGCCUACAUUUGUAGGCCGCAGCUAAAGAGCCCACGGAACUGUUUAUCAAAAACUCAGGUCUCUGCUAACACGAAAGUGGAUGUAUAGGGGCUGAAACCUGCCCGGUGCCGGAAGGUUAAGGGGAUUGCUUCACGGUGAAAACUGAAGCCCCGGUGAACGGCGGCGGUAACUAUAACCGUCCUAAGGUAGCGAAAUUCCUUGUCAGGUAAGUUCUGACCCGCACGAAUGGUUAAAUCAUGUGGGCACUGUCUCAGCAAUUAUCUCGGUGAAAAUGCAUUGGCGGUAAAGAUGCCGUCUGUCCGCACCAGGACGAAAAGACCCCGUGGAGCUUCACUACAGCUUUACAUUGUUGUGGGUUCUAACUUGUGUAGUAUAGGUGGGAGACUUUGAAGCAGAUACGCUAGUAUCUGUGGAGUCAUCAGUGAAAUACCACCCCCGUUAGGAUCUGCAUCUAACCUGUGCCGUUAUCCGGUAUAGGGACCGUGUAUGGUUGGUAGUUUAACUGGGGCGGUUGCCUCCUAAAGAGUAGCGGAGGCGUUCAAAGGUU
RNAcentral lists this ribosomal RNA (2251 nucleotides) under human oral metagenome. RNAcentral describes it as "bacterial LSU rRNA". It matches the Rfam family "Bacterial large subunit ribosomal RNA", at positions 310 to 2318 of the family's 2925-position model. The record is from RNAcentral.